GACGAAGGGGGCUAGCGUUGUUCGGAAUUACUGGGCGUCCGGGCGCGCAGGCGGCUCUACAAGUUAGGCGUUAAAGACCCAGGCUCACCCUGGGGAGUGCGCUUGAUACUGUGGGGCUAGAGAUCGGAAGAGGAGAGUGGAAUUCCCAGUGUAGAGGUGAAAUUCGUAGAUAUUGGGAAGAACACCAGUGGCGAAGGCGGCUCUCUGGUCCGAUUCUGACGCUGAGGCGCGAAAGCGUGGGGAGCAAACAGG
RNAcentral lists this ribosomal RNA (252 nucleotides) under uncultured bacterium. RNAcentral describes it as "partial 16S ribosomal RNA". It matches the Rfam family "Bacterial small subunit ribosomal RNA", at positions 524 to 776 of the family's 1533-position model. The record is from RNAcentral.